This is an RNA transcript of Pyrus x bretschneideri (Chinese white pear), 1232 nucleotides long. It is a transcript of the gene named B3 domain-containing protein Os04g0386900, with no coding region annotated. The record is from RefSeq and is a predicted model, not a curated record. The transcript is spliced from 4 exons. Lineage: Eukaryota; Viridiplantae; Streptophyta; Magnoliopsida; Rosales; Rosaceae.
UAUAAAAUACGAAUAAUUUUUGCGUUACGUGAGGCGUGAUGAAUAAUUGAAGUAUUAAAAGUAAGCAAUUUAAAAAGUUUAAGAUGUCACUCCAAUACACCGCGGUUCUUGCCUUCUGGGUACAGUCCAGAAUCCCAGAUAGAAAUUUAUAGGUAAAAAGGGGUUGAUUGAUUCUCUCUUCCCUUCUCGCUCCGCUCGAUCUCUGUCACUCGGCUACUCUAACCUCAGUGGCCAUCCCCACUCCAACCAGAUUAUAAAUGCUCUUCAUCACUGGCUUCUGGUGGUGAUCCAUGGAUGUUCUCUGACGGACUGAUGCUGUGAUUCUUAAUAUUCAUAUGUCUCUAGCUUCAGUCUGAAUAUUUUCAAUCUAUUCUCCUCAUGUUAUUGGAGUCUACAGACAAGUUUUAGCUGACUCUGGUGAUUCAUGCUCAUCAUUCCAUAUAAUUUACUUCCGUUCCACGCCUCUGGGAUUUGGGGGCUUCAGUUACAGUUGCUGAAGCAGAAGAUCCUCAAAUGGGAGACCAACCCACAUCAAAUUCCAUGAUUGAAUUGCAAGGGGAUGAGUUUUGGCCGCUCUCAGAGAAACCCUUUUUUGAAGUCGUUAUCACAAAAGCAAAUGUCAAGCCCUCUUAUCAAAUGGUGAUCCCGGCCAAAUUUCAACAAACACUACCUUCCUGUUCAAUUCCUACUGUUCUCACGUUUGGAGGCAAAAACUGGGAGAUGACAUAUACACACGGCUCUGGUCAGAGAAAGUUUGAUACUAACUGGAGAGAAUUUGUCAACGACAACAAUUUGAAGGUUGGAGAUGCAUGUGUAUUCGAACUCCUGGAGUGCAGCAGCACAAAACUCGUAUUCAGAGUCCAAAUUCUCAGAGGUGACAUCCCAUCUGAACUUCUAGGCAAGCUGAAAGGUGAGACUGUAGAUGCACCCAUAAUUAUUGAUUAGUAUAUUCUAUAUUGCCUGCCUUUUCAUCGAUGCUCUCAUUCUCCUGAAUGACAUUAACAUCAGGAGCUAAUAUAAUUUGAAUAUGCGGAACUCCAGCAGAUCUUGUUAAGGAUGCUACAUCUGUAUACUGCUGAGUCCCUUAUGUUGUUCCAGUCUAGGCGUUAUGGUGUAAUCUGAUAUGAUAUUUUAUGUAUGAGAAUCUAUUGUAUGCACAUUCGGAUACAUUGGAAAGAAUGUUAUCUAGUAAAGUACUUAAUUUCUCAGAGGCCUCCUUGAGGUUUCUGUAA